Molecule: ribosomal RNA, 229 nt
Filed under: uncultured bacterium
Lineage: Bacteria
Description: partial 16S ribosomal RNA
Rfam family: Bacterial small subunit ribosomal RNA
Source: RNAcentral
CGGGGUGAGUAAUGCUUGGGGAUCUAGCUUAUGGAGGGGGAUAACUACGGGAAACUGUAGCUAAUACCGCGUAGUAUCGGAAGAUGAAAGUGUGGGACCUUCGGGCCACAUGCCAUAGGAUGAGCCCAAGUGGGAUUAGGUAGUUGGUGAGGUAAAGGCUCACCAAGCCGACGAUCUCUAGCUGGUCUGAGAGGAUGACCAGCCACACUGGGACUGAGACACGGCCCAG